RNAcentral lists this long non-coding RNA (2302 nucleotides) under Ictidomys tridecemlineatus (thirteen-lined ground squirrel). RNAcentral's name for it is "lncRNA (ENSSTOG00000032445.1)". Lineage: Eukaryota; Metazoa; Chordata; Mammalia; Rodentia; Sciuridae. The record is from RNAcentral.
CACGGCUUUCAUCUUUCAGGAUUCUACCGUCUAUUCUCAACAGAACGACUUCCACGCCAAAGAAAAACACCCUCCCGAAAAUACACUGCGGCUCUACGUGUUAGGGAUUACACACCAGCGGCCGGAGCGCCGGGACCAUCUCCAGGGAAGCCAGCUUCGCAGGCGGAAAGGGAUCCAGAAACGCCAGCCGCCGCGGCGAAUCGGAGCUCGAGGCGCCCGUCAGGGCAGAAGGGAAGCCCGGCGCCGCGCCCUCCAGCCGCGCGCAGCUCAAGUCCGACGCCCCGCGCCGCGCUCUCCCCAGGGACCGAGCCCCGGAACCACGACCACUAACGGAACCAGCCCACCGGCGGCAGCAGCCGCUCGGACUGCGGACGGCGACGCGCGGCCGGGGCGCCAGGAGGGCGGGGGUUCCCCGGAGGAGCUGGCCGCCCCAGCGCCCCAUUGGGCGCCGCUCCAAACGUGCCCGAGUGGUGACAGGAAUAAAAGUGGGUCACAAGGCCUAGCGGGUCCCGGGCGAAAGCCCUCGCGGCACCAGGCUAGCUUUCCCGGACGCACGGCCGCUGGAACCGGCUGGAACCCGGUCACCCUCCGGUCACCGGGGCCCGCCGCGCACCCCAAUCCCGCCCCUGCCCCGCAGGUUGCGAAGAUUCCUGGACCACCAGUGACCCUGGAGGCGCGCGUCUUCGAGUGCUUCUUACUGGCUGGUGGUUGGGCUGGAGAGACAGGACCGGCACCUUCAGCCGCAGCAGUGGGGCAAGAGGUCUGGAUGUAUUUGCUCAUUUGCAGUUUCCCCGCUGGCCUUUUAGUGAAAACCAAGUGACAGUGUAAUGAAAGACUUGGGUGCAGGGAUGGGGAGUUGUGGACACUUGCUCUGUUUUUGUUUUGUUUUGUUUUGUUUUGGUUAGAACAGCGUGUGAAUAUUUACAGCUUACCUGGGGAGAGAGGUGAAAUUACUUCCCCCGAUGCUUGAAAUACAAUUGGUCCACGUGAAAAAAAAAAAAUCAGAGUCGAAGAACUUAAUCCAGAUCCCUGAUCUUUCACCUGAGCAUUUUUCUUCGGGAAGUGGAAAAGCAUGAUUUAUUAAUUACUCCAUUUAGUAGAAGGAAUUUUAAUAGACGUUUCUGUUUGUUCCGCAUUCACUCCCAUUCUGAUAAUUUCAUUUGGAGAACUAUCGUCCCUCUACCCAGUCCAUAUGGUCUGGAAAGGACAUCAGGGGGAAGGUAUAUUUGAGUUGAUCUGGGAUGUUACCUCUUUUCCAGUGGAUCUGAAUCUGAAAGAAUGGAGGACUGGAGCCAGCUUUUCAUGCAUGAUUAAUGAGAAAGUACCCUGGGGCGGGGGCGGGGUGGUGCAGAUUCAAAGAUGGAUAUUUGGCCUAAAGUCAUGUUUGAUGUCACGGAAACCAUUGUAAACUAGGUUGCUCUGGAAAUUUCAAUUAAAAUAAUAAAUUCUUGGAUGUGUUUUAUUGCUAGAACCAGUGACAAGUUUUCUGUCACCCGCAAUUAAGAGUCCUAAUACUGUUAGGUAGCAAGAGAAUAAUACUGAUGAAAUAGGUUGCAGCCAGACAAGAGAGUUUAAAUGUUUCUAGGGUCUGAUGUUUGGAUUUUAUCCUGAAGACAGUGAUCACUCUUCAUAUUUCACAUCCUCUAGUAUACAUAUUUCAAAAAUACCUUUGCCCUUUUUAGUGGCUUCAUUGACCUCUUAGUCACCAGAAUCAAACUAUGUUCAUGUGACUCCUCCCUUUUUCAUAUUCUGUGUUUAAUUAUUUACAAGACCUGUUGAUAAUCUCAUUUUUCUGCUCAGUCCUCUGCCACUGCUCAUAUAUUUCCCAUAGUUCAGUUCAAAACUCCUUUCUCCCCAUAUUCUUUCCCAGAAAAAAGUUAUUCCUAAUGGUUUUUCCAAUUUUCCCACUCCUGUUUCCAUUAAACAAAAAUACUGUCUCAUGGUUUCAUAGAUCCUAAAUUAAUGUCCUCCAGCCUAAACACAAUUUUUUGUGUAAUUCAGAUAUUCUGUUCACUCCAUGUAUGCCUUGCUAUCACUUAAACUAAUCAUUUCCAACUCUUUUCAACUUCCCUGUUAUUCUUUAAUUUCUUCAUCUGUAAAAUGAGGAUAAUAAGUCCAUCUCAUGAGAUAAUUGGAAGAAGAUUGGGGGGGGCGUGUAUAAUGAUACCUGGCACAUACGAAAUCCAUUAAAGUAUUUUCCAUUUUUUUAAUCAAUGAUUUUUUUCUAUAAUUCCCUUAUCUCCUUUGCUCAGAUUCUUCCUCUAUCUCCUAUGUUCCAUCAGUCACAAAUUGUGUCUAUUCU